Molecule: transfer RNA, 71 nt
Filed under: Xylaria palmicola
Lineage: Eukaryota; Fungi; Ascomycota; Sordariomycetes; Xylariales; Xylariaceae
Also listed under: 1 other name
Description: tRNA-Gly
Rfam family: tRNA
About the family: Transfer RNA (tRNA) molecules are approximately 80 nucleotides in length. Their secondary structure includes four short double-helical elements and three loops (D, anti-codon, and T loops).
Source: RNAcentral
GCAUCAGUGGUUUAGUGGUAAAAUCCAUCGUUGCCAUCGAUGGGCCCCGUGUUCGAUUCACGGCUAAUGCA